Monopterus albus (swamp eel) is the source of this 1666-nucleotide long non-coding RNA. RefSeq lists it as uncharacterized. Lineage: Eukaryota; Metazoa; Chordata; Actinopteri; Synbranchiformes; Synbranchidae. The transcript is spliced from 3 exons. The record is from RefSeq and is a predicted model, not a curated record.
UGUGGGUGAAGUGAGCCACAACUUGCUGUGCCGGCAGUCAGUGGUUUCACCCACUGCGCCAUCGACACGAUACAUAAGGCCACAUUCAUAGGAAGCACCAGAGGUUUGUGCUGCUUUUGGAUGUUGUACUGAAAGAAACUAUUGUUGAUUCUCCGACAGUCUACAAAAGCCUGAGAUUGAAGGUCAUGACUAAGACUAAGAACCUCAGUGUCAGUGGAAUGUCUUCUGAAACCAGCAAGCUGAGCAAUAAGCUCAUAGAGGUGGAGGAGGCAACACAGAGAAAGGUGUGAUGAACAGACAGACAUAGAUAUUGGAAAGUUCAUUCUUUAUUGAUUCUUUUAACAUAGUUACACACGUCCAUAGUUACAUCCACAUACAUGCACAAAUGCUCUGUGGGUCCUUCGGCCCUAAAUGCUGUCUGCCUAGUGAGGUACAUCAUGAAAGCCACGGCUGGGGGAGCCAGGACACCAGGGUUAGGGGGAGAUAGCAUCCUCCCCACAAGAUUGAAGAAGGUUGAAGAAGACACUGUCUAGGACUAAGAUAAAUUUAGACGCCAUGGCUUCGUGAUGGUGUCCUCCUGUAACCAGCAAGCAGGAAACAUGGUAGAGGAGAGAAAGGAGUGGGUUAUCUGUGGUAGAGGUAAGGAAGGAGGUUAGAGAGGACAAAGAUAGGAGAUCUGGUAGGAGGUUAGAGAACAUACCAGAUCCCCUGCUUUUUAAAAAAAAAUAUAUCUUUUGUUUUAUCCACUGACAGACUUCCUAGUUUGAUGGUAUUUUAAGACAGCAGCUGUAAGGUGUUCAUAUUAACAUCUGUAUUAGUGCUUUCACUCUGCAUUUGUAUGCACCACGUUUGUACAAAGGGUCAGAAUGAACUGUAAUGUAACAGUUUCACUUACUGUAUGAUAAUGAAGCUUUAGUAAAAACUUCCAGUGUUCUAUCUGCAAUGUUUAUGGCAAACACUGUCAUAACAUAGUGAUUGACCUUCAUCGCUCUCAGGUGAAACACAGCAAGUUGAUAGUACAGCUGGCAAAUAGAAUUAUCUUUUAAUUCACUGUGGAUAAACGUGUAAGCAACUUUGAGUAGCCGAUUGAGUUAACCCUAAAUGUCUUGUGACACAUCCUGAUCCUUCAAAUGGCUAAAAACCAGGCAUCUACGGCUCUGGGGUUCUUCCUUGAACCUGCAAGGAAACCAGACUUUCCAUCCAGGUACACAGUCUUGUUUUGCUUUUGAUAUAAACAUUUAAUUCUUCUGUGCACUUAAAAUGACUGAAAAUCCACAUGUCUGAAAAGCAGGAGUAACUACUAUGAAGCCUAAUUCUCAAAACUUGUAGAAUAUUUGUAUAAUACCUAAAACACAGCGCAUCUUUUUGUCACAAAUCCUGAUCCUCCAAAUGGCCAAAAACAAGGCAUCCAUGGCUCUGAGGUUUCUCCUUGAAACUGCAAAGAAACCUGACGUUCCAUCCAGCCAGACUGCUAGAGCCACAGCUGUGGAAAAUGGGAUGACUCCCUCAUGAAGACAUUGAGGGGGACCAUUUUCCCAGAUGUGCAUCAUGCUGGAGUACAGUGAAGAACCAAGAGACCUGAACAUGACAGAUUUAUAGUUGUAAUAGUUUUAUUGAAGAAAAACAAAUUAAAAACUGCCUGGAACAAGGCCAGAAAUGUUGUAAA